GAUGAACGCUGGCGGCGUGCCUAAUACAUGCAAGUCGAGCGAACGGACGAGAAGCUUGCUUCUCUGAUGUUAGCGGCGGACGGGUGAGUAACACGUGGAUAACCUACCUAUAAGACUGGGAUAACUUCGGGAAACCGUAGCUAAUACCGGAUAAUAUUUUGAACCGCAUGGUUCAAAAGUGAAAGACGGUCUUGCUGUCACUUAUAGAUGGAUCCGCGCUGCAUUAGCUAGUUGGUAAGGUAACGGCUUACCAAGGCAACGAUGCAUAGCCGACCUGAGAGGGUGAUAGGCCACACGGGAACUGAGACACGGUCCAGACUCCUACGGGAGGCAGCAGUAGGGAAUCGUCCGCAAUGGGCGAAAGCCUGACGGAGCAACGCCGCGUGAGUGAUGAAGGUCUUCGGAUCGUAAAACUCUGUUAUUAGGGAAGAACAUAUGUGUAAGUAACUGUGCACAUCUUGACGGUACCUAAUCAGAAAGCCACGGCUAACUACGUG
RNAcentral lists this ribosomal RNA (497 nucleotides) under uncultured bacterium. RNAcentral describes it as "partial 16S ribosomal RNA". It matches the Rfam family "Bacterial small subunit ribosomal RNA", at positions 28 to 507 of the family's 1533-position model. The record is from RNAcentral.